Molecule: unclassified non-coding RNA, 322 nt
Filed under: Quambalaria cyanescens
Lineage: Eukaryota; Fungi; Basidiomycota; Exobasidiomycetes; Microstromatales; Quambalariaceae
Description: partial contains 5.8S ribosomal RNA, internal transcribed spacer 2, and large subunit ribosomal RNA
Source: RNAcentral
CGCACCUUGCGCUCUCUGGUAUUCCAGAGAGCAUGCCUGUUUGAGUGUCAUGAAUUCCUCAAACCCCAAUGUUUUGCAAAAUUCAUUGCUUGGGUUUGGUUUUGGACGUGUGCUGCUUUAUACGCAGCUCGUCUCAAAGACAUUAGCAGGGCUUUUCAAUUUAGUUGAAUAGCUAUUACUUGAUGUGAUAAGUAUUACGUCGGUAUAUAGUUGUUUGCCAUGUGAAGAAGCCUGCUUCUAAUCCGGCGAGAAGUUCCACCUUCGACCCAAAUUCAUUUUAAACUCUGGCCUCAAAUCAGGUAGGAUUACCCGCUGAACUUAA